Molecule: ribosomal RNA, 273 nt
Filed under: uncultured bacterium
Lineage: Bacteria
Description: partial small subunit ribosomal RNA
Rfam family: Bacterial small subunit ribosomal RNA
Source: RNAcentral
AGAAUCAACGCUGGCGGCGUGCCUAACACAUGCAAGUCGAACGCGAAAGCCCCGAAAGGGGCAAGUAGAGUGGCAAACGGGUGAGUAACACGUGGGUGACCUGCCUUCGAGCGGGGGAUAACGGUCCCGAAAGGGACGCUAAUACCGCAUAACAUCCUGCCUUUGAAGAGGUGGAGAUCAAAGCUGGGGAUCGCAAGACCCGGCACUUGAAGAGGGGCCCGCGUCUGAUUAGCUAGUUGGUGGGGUAAUGGCCUACCAAGGCAACGAUCAGUA